RNAcentral lists this ribosomal RNA (406 nucleotides) under uncultured bacterium. RNAcentral describes it as "partial 16S ribosomal RNA". It matches the Rfam family "Bacterial small subunit ribosomal RNA", at positions 30 to 526 of the family's 1533-position model. The record is from RNAcentral.
AUUGAACGCUGGCGGCAGGCCUAACACAUGCAAGUCGAACGCGUGGCGGACGGGUGAGGAAUGUCUGGGAAACUGCCCGAUAGCGGGGGAUCACUACGGGAAACCGUUGCUAAUACCGCAUUACAUCGGCUGUGCCCAGAUGGGGUUGGCUGGUGGGUGGGGUAACGGCUCACCUAGGCGACGAUCCCUAGCCGGUCUGAGAGGUUGACCAGCCACACUGGAACUGAGACACGGUCCAGACUCCUACGGGAGGCAGCAGUGGGGAAUAUUGCACAAUGGGCGCAAGCCUGAUGCAGCCACGCCGCGUGUAUGAAGAAGGCCUUCGGGUUGUAAAGUACUGUCAGCGAGGAGGCGUUACUCACAGAGGAAGCACCGGCUAACUCCGUGCCAGCAGCCGCGGUAAUAC